ACUCUCACCAGAAACCCACCCUGCUGGGCCUGGAUCUUGGACUUCCAGCCUCCAGAACUAUUUAGUGAUGGUGACGGGAUCCGAAGGAAACAUCUGAUGGCUCUGAGGACAACACGAGACACAGGGAAGGACACUUUGAGAGCAUCUUUCCCGCCGUCGCAAGGGCCGUGGAUCCUAACUGACACAGAUGAAGUUAGGAAAAAGAGACAAGAAU
Eubalaena glacialis (North Atlantic right whale) is the source of this 214-nucleotide long non-coding RNA. RefSeq lists it as uncharacterized. The transcript is spliced from 3 exons. Lineage: Eukaryota; Metazoa; Chordata; Mammalia; Artiodactyla; Balaenidae. The record is from RefSeq and is a predicted model, not a curated record.